Molecule: long non-coding RNA, 935 nt
Filed under: Homo sapiens (human)
Lineage: Eukaryota; Metazoa; Chordata; Mammalia; Primates; Hominidae
Description: novel transcript
Rfam family: mir-515 microRNA precursor family (bases 631-717)
Source: RNAcentral
UUUCAUCCUCAGGAUGGGAAGUCCUCACAGAGUUCAACAGGGUUUCACCGUGUUGUACACGCUGGUCUUGAGCUCCUGAGCUCAAGUGAAUCUCCUGCCUUGGCCUCCUGAUGUGCUGGGAUUAGAGGUAUGAGCCACCACACCCAACUGGUACUUGUGUAUUCCUGUUCAAAUUUUAUUGAGGAGCUUUUACCACCUAGCCUGUGGUCUAUCCUGGAGGAUGUUUGUGUGUGCGACAAUGUAUAUAGUUCAACAUCUUAGAUCACAUUUUGGAUGUUUCCAAUGGGACUGUGUGUCUCCGCACUGGAACUCAAAUGAACACUUGGCUCAGAAUCCAUUUGCUGUUCUCUGGAAAUCCAGUCCAAUUCUCUUGGUUAAGUAUAAGGUAUGUCUAGUAGGCAUUGCUUUUUCUGUUUGAGAACAAAACUCGGGAGGAUUGUCCCUUGAUGAACAAGGCUAACCUGCUGAGCCUUUGAAGCAAGGAACUGGAGAUGGUCCUUUUCAGGCGUUUUAUUCUGGAUUCCAGAAAACAUGCAAACAGGGCCACUAAAUGCAUCUUUAUUUUUCUGUCCAUUUAAACCUGGUCAAAGAAAAUUCCAACACGAAACCCAGAGUGCUGGAGCAAGAAGAUCUCAAGCUAUGAGUCUACAAAGGAAAGCGCUUUCUGUUGUCAGAAAGAAGAGAAAGCGCUUCCCUUUUGAGGGUUACGGUUUGAGAAAAGCAGUGUUGAAGUUGAUGCUGAUCUUGGUAAUACAUUUGCAGAGCAUGCUUAUCAUCAGACUUGGAUGAUAGCGGGGUUAUGUUUUGGUUUUGUGUUUUUCUAAGACAGGGUCUCCGUUGCCCAGGCUGGAGUGCGGUGGCACUUCCAACCUAGCUCUCUUGGGCUCAAGUGAUCCUCUUUUUAUUUAUUUAUGUAUUCAUUUUUGAGAUGGAGC